RNAcentral lists this unclassified non-coding RNA (229 nucleotides) under plant metagenome. RNAcentral's name for it is "partial contains small subunit ribosomal RNA, internal transcribed spacer 1, and 5.8S ribosomal RNA". The record is from RNAcentral.
UCUCCGUAGGUGAACCUGCGGAGGGAUCAUUACAGAGUUCAUGCCCUACCGGGUAGAUCUCCCACCCUAUGUUAUUAUUACUUUGUUGCUUUGGCGGGCCGUUAGGCUCCGGCCCGACUACCGGCCCCGGCUGGUAAGCGCCCGCCAGAGGACCCAAAACCCCGAAUAUUAGUGUCGUCUGAGUACUAUAUAAUAGUUAAAACUUUCAACAACGGAUCUCUUGGUUCUG